Molecule: ribosomal RNA, 420 nt
Filed under: uncultured bacterium
Lineage: Bacteria
Description: bacterial SSU rRNA
Rfam family: Bacterial small subunit ribosomal RNA
Source: RNAcentral
GAGGAAUAUUGGACAAUGGAUGGAAAUCUGAUCCAGCCAUGCCGCGUGCAGGAAGACGGCCCUAUGGGUUGUAAACUGCUUUUGUAUGGGAGCAAUAAGGGCUACGUGUAGUCCGAUGAGAGUACCAUACGAAUAAGCACCGGCUAACUCCGUGCCAGCAGCCGCGGUAAUACGGAGGGUGCAAGCGUUAUCCGGAUUUAUUGGGUUUAAAGGGUGCGUAGGCGGUUUGAUAAGUCAGCGGUGAAAUAUUUCAGCUUAACUGGAAGGGUGCCGUUGAUACUGUCGAGCUUGAAUUUAGUUGCUGUGGGUGGAAUGUGUGGUGUAGCGGUGAAAUGCAUAGAUAUCACACAGAAUAUCGAUUGCGAAGGCAGCUCACAAAGCUAAUAUUGACGCUGAUGCACGAAAGUGUGGGGAUCAAAC